This 223-nucleotide ribosomal RNA is filed under the name uncultured bacterium. RNAcentral's name for it is "partial 16S ribosomal RNA". It matches the Rfam family "Bacterial small subunit ribosomal RNA", at positions 116 to 334 of the family's 1533-position model. The record is from RNAcentral.
CGUAGGUAACCUGCCUGGUAGCGGGGGGUAACUAUUGGAAACGAUAGCUAAUACCGCAUAAGAGUAGAUGUUGCAUGACAUUUGCUUAAAAGGUGCAAUUGCAUCACUACCAGAUGGACCUGCGUUGUAUUAGCUAGUUGGUGGGGUAACGGCUCACCAAGGCGACGAUACAUAGCCGACCUGAGAGGGUGAUCGGCCACACUGGAACUGAGACACGGCCCAG